CUCGCCCAGUCACCGGCAAGCUGGCGACACUGCGCUGCUUCCUCCUCGUGUCUGCGGCCUCGAGAUUAAUUUUUCCCUGCCGUGCACACGUCAGAUGGAGCGGGCGAUAGUUGUCGGGGCACAGGAGGACGCCUCUGUUAUCGGGGCACGGGAGGAUGCCUCCGUCGUCGGGGUCAGAGAGACCAUCAGGCUUAAGCAUAUUUCUUCAGUCUUCUUCAGAGAUCUGGAGGGUUCGAUUCGACGCAACUUCGGGCUUGGGUUUCCGGCGAGCAAAGUCAGCUCAAAAACAUUCCUCUUUCUCACUUCCUCCUCCCAAACCUGGAGCGGGCGAUGUAGUUGUCGGGGCAGGCUUCAACAUAUUUCUUCUGUCUUCUUGAGAUAUCAGGAGGGCUCGAUUCGAUGCAGCUCCGGGCUUGGGUUUCCGGCGAACAAAGUCAGCUCGACAGCAUUCCUCUUUCUCACUUGUUAGUCAAAGUCUGAACUCGGUUUCUGCUAUUUUAUUCGUCAUUGCCAGGAGCAUGCGCAUCGCAUUGCCUUCAACUCCAUGUAAAAUGGAUCAUGACCGCUUACCCACCUAAUAAAGGGCAUGGACAUGGCAAUACAACAUUCUGAAGAGCCGGUGUGGUACGAUCAGACUCCUCUGAGGCGUUGGCUACAUUCUCCGAGGAGGAUUUAUUAAGGGGAAUGGUCCUCGAGGUUAUAGGGGUGGUUGGACCAAUCUAGGGCAGUCCAGAGCUGUCACACUCCCUGACAGGGUUCUUUCCAGGCGUGUGGAGUUUUAGGUUCUUAAAAGACCACACUGACGUGUCUAGCGUAUCGUGCUCCCGGGGAGGCUCCUCCGCUAACGUGUCUUGCGUACCGCGCUCGAUGCCGGGGGUAUAUGCUAACAUGUUCAUAUGCAAACACACUGUUUAGUUAUUCCAUUGGGGUUUUUGCUAGCAGUUCUACCAACAUAAUCGGCGACAUAUUAUAUUGUUUUUUGCUGCACCUUCAUGACCUAGUC
Molecule: long non-coding RNA, 1003 nt
Organism: Triticum dicoccoides
Lineage: Eukaryota; Viridiplantae; Streptophyta; Magnoliopsida; Poales; Poaceae
Exons: 4
Source: RefSeq, a predicted model, not a curated record